This 498-nucleotide ribosomal RNA is filed under the name uncultured bacterium. RNAcentral describes it as "partial 16S ribosomal RNA". It matches the Rfam family "Bacterial small subunit ribosomal RNA", at positions 29 to 523 of the family's 1533-position model. The record is from RNAcentral.
AUUGAACGCUGGCGGCAUGCUUUACACAUGCAAGUCGAACGGUAACAGGCCGCAAGGUGCUGACGAGUGGCGAACGGGUGAGUAAUGCAUCGGAACGUGCCCAGUCGUGGGGGAUAACGCAGCGAAAGCUGCGCUAAUACCGCAUACGAUCUAUGGAUGAAAGCGGGGGACCGUAAGGCCUCGCGCGAUUGGAGCGGCCGAUGUCAGAUUAGGUAGUUGGUGGGGUAAAGGCUCACCAAGCCAACGAUCUGUAGCUGGUCUGAGAGGUCGACCAGCCACACGGGGACUGAGACACGGCCCAGACUCCUACGGGAGGCAGCAGUGGGGAAUUUUGGACAAUGGGCGCAAGCCUGAUCCAGCAAUGCCGCGUGCAGGAAGAAGGCCUUCGGGUUGUAAACUGCUUUUGUACGGAACGAAAAGGCUCUGGAUAAUACCUGGGGCUCAUGACGGUACCGUAAGAAUAAGCACCGGCUAACCACGUGCCAGCCGCCGCCGUAA